AUUGAACGCUGGCGGCAGGCCUAACACAUGCAAGUCGAACGGUAACAUGAAGAGCCUUGCUUCUUUGCUUUCGCGUGGCGGGCGGGUGUGUAAUGUCUGUGACACUGCCUGAAGGAGGGGGUUAACUACUGGAAACGGUACCAAUUACCGCAUAACUUCGCAAGCCCAAAGAGGAGUACUUUAGGGCGUCUUGCCUUCGGCUUUGCCCGGAUGGGAUUAGCUAGUAGGUGGGGUAACGGCUCACCAAGGCGACGAUCCGUAGCUGGUCUGAGAGGUUGACCGGCCACACUGGAACUGAGACACGGUCCAGACUCCUACGGGAGGCAGCAGUGGGGAAUAUUGCACAAUGGGCGAAAGCCUGAUGGAGCAAUGCCGCGUGUAUGAAGAAGGCCUUCGGGUUGUAAAGUACUUUUAGCGGGGAGGAAGGAAGUAAAGUGAAUACCUUUGCGCAUUGACGGUACCCGCAGAAGAAGCACCGGCUAACUCCGUG
This 490-nucleotide ribosomal RNA is filed under the name uncultured bacterium. RNAcentral's name for it is "partial 16S ribosomal RNA". It matches the Rfam family "Bacterial small subunit ribosomal RNA", at positions 30 to 507 of the family's 1533-position model. The record is from RNAcentral.